This is a long non-coding RNA of Pseudophryne corroboree (corroboree frog), 507 nucleotides long. RefSeq lists it as uncharacterized. The transcript is spliced from 3 exons. The record is from RefSeq and is a predicted model, not a curated record. Lineage: Eukaryota; Metazoa; Chordata; Amphibia; Anura; Myobatrachidae.
AAGCUCAGUCUGCUGGGAAUACAACAGGCGCCUCUCCGCAUCAUUCCUAAUUAAACGCAGGAAGAAGCGCUCCCGUUGCAGAGCGGAGACUGGAGCUGAAUAUGACGCGGAUCUCCCAGAUAAUAGUGUGAUGAAUCAGACGGUGCUAUCGCUGCCAUGAAAGGGUCUGACGGAACAAAGCCCAGCCCUGAGGACCCCCGCUUCCCUGAGUCUUUGUGGCAGUAACUACUGACACAUAGCGACACAGUGUGCGAGCCGCCAUUACACAGGGGGAUCAUCUAUGCGGGACAGCUGAGGAACGCCGCAAAAUAAGGAUUAAAUAAAUAAAAUUACUCAUGAAAACAAUUUCACAACUGAACAACUAAUAUAAACGGGGAAAUAUUUUCAUUGUACCCUCGAUGAACAGCGCAAAAUGCUUUCAGAUCUACCUAGCGUCCAUCAAGGUGCGCAACUCCCCCCACAGAGGCUCCCAAUGUGCGGAGAGGUGGGAGAAACUGUAGGGGAUAC